CUGCAGCUGCGAAUUGGAAUGCGCGGAGGAGGAAAUGGAGUUGGGAUCUUCCUGUUGAGCGAUGAAAUUAGCUAGGCGUGAAGCAGUGCACCCCAUUUUUGGGAGAUUUUACAAAGUUGAGAACUAACCACGGAAAGUGAAAGAUGGUCCUUUUUUCCUUCCUUGCUUUCUCUCUCCGUUAUGGAUGUCCAAGUACAGUGAUUGAUUGAAGCUUUUCCCCUUUUUUAUCUCUCUGCAACCUUUCUUCAGUAAGUUUGA
This 258-nucleotide long non-coding RNA is filed under the name Salvia miltiorrhiza (redroot sage). Its description in RNAcentral is "long non-coding RNA (SMIL_LNC011469)". The record is from RNAcentral. Lineage: Eukaryota; Viridiplantae; Streptophyta; Magnoliopsida; Lamiales; Lamiaceae.